GAUGAACGCUGGCGGCGUGCCUAAUACAUGCAAGUCGAGCGAACGGACGAGACGCUUGCUUCUCUGAUGUUAGCGGCGGACGGGAGUGUAACACGUGGAUAACCUACCUAUAAGACUGGGAUAACUUCGGGAAACCGGAGCUAAUCCCGGAGAAUCUCCUGAACCGCAUGGUUCAAAAGUGAAAGACGGUCUUGCUGUCACUUAUAGAUGGAUCUGCGCUGCAUUAGCUAGUUGGUAAGGUAACGGCUUACCAAGGCAACGAUGCAUAGCCGAACUGAGAGAGUGAUCGGCCACACUGGAACUGAGACACGGUCCAGACUCCUACGGGACGCAGCAGUAGGGAAUCUUCCGCAAUGGUCGAAAGCCUGACGGAGCAACGCCGCGUGAGUGAUGAAGGUCUUCGGAUCGUAAAACUCUGUUAUUAGGGAAGAACAUAUGUGUAAGUAACUGUGCACAUCGUGACGGUACCUAAUCAGAAAGCCACGGCUAACUACGUG
Molecule: ribosomal RNA, 497 nt
Filed under: uncultured bacterium
Lineage: Bacteria
Description: partial 16S ribosomal RNA
Rfam family: Bacterial small subunit ribosomal RNA
Source: RNAcentral